This 254-nucleotide ribosomal RNA is filed under the name uncultured bacterium. RNAcentral's name for it is "partial 16S ribosomal RNA". It matches the Rfam family "Bacterial small subunit ribosomal RNA", at positions 524 to 776 of the family's 1533-position model. The record is from RNAcentral.
UACGAAGGGGGCUAGCGUUGCUCGGAAUCACUGGGCGUAAAGCGCACGUAGGCGGCUUCUUAAGUCAGGGGUGAAAUCCUGGAGCUCAACUCCAGAACUGCCCUUGAUACUGAGGAGCUUGAGUCCGGGAGAGGUGAGUGGGAACUGCGAGUGUAGAGGUGAAAUUCGUAGAUAUUCGCAAGAACACCAGUGGCGAAGGCGGCUCACUGGCCCGGUACUGACGCUGAGGCACGAAAGCGUGGGGAGCAAACAGG